Molecule: long non-coding RNA, 20278 nt
Filed under: Durio zibethinus
Lineage: Eukaryota; Viridiplantae; Streptophyta; Magnoliopsida; Malvales; Malvaceae
Description: long non-coding RNA (DZIB_LNC001725)
Source: RNAcentral
UUUACUUUUCAAUAUUUUAUUAUUGAAAGAUAUUCGGUUUUGAAUUCGGAGCUUAGCUUAAUUGGUUCAUGUUCUUAAUUUUAGAAGAUGACAUUCAAAUCUGAAAUGUCCUAAACUAACAAAUUAACGUUGUUGUGUAGGUGAUAAUACUUGCAGGAACUGAUACAUCAGCAGUCACAAUAGAGUGGGCAAUGUCCAAUUUGCUAAAUCACCCAGAAUUAUUGAAGAAGGCUAGAGCUGAACUAGACAAUCAAAUUGGUCAAGAAAACCUGAUUGAUGAACAAGAUGUUUCCAAGCUACAUUACCUUCAAAGCAUUAUAUUGGAGACACUUCGAUUAUACCCUGCAGCUCCUCUUCUGCUUCCACACAUGCCAUCUAGCGAUUGUACCUUAGGUGGAUACAACGUGCCACGUGGUGCGAUCGUAUUGGUGAAUGCAUGGGCCAUUCAUAGGGAUCCAAAACUAUGGGAUGAUCCAACAAGUUUUAAGCCAGAGAGAUUUGAAAAUGGUGAGAAAUUAGGAGAAUAUUCUCACAAGCUAAUGCCAUUUGGGUUAGGAAGGAGGGCAUGUCCAGGAGCAGGCCUGGCUCAGCGAAUGGUGGGAUUAGCUUUAGGAUCUUUGAUUCAAUGCUUUGAGUGGGAAAGGAUUGAUGGCAAGGAAAUUGACAUGACUGAAGGAAAGGGAACCACCAUGCCUAAAGUUCAGCCAUUAGUUGCCAUGUGCAAAGCCCGUCCCAUCGUGAAUAAUGUUUUUUAUAAACAAAUUUGAUUAAAACUGUUUCAUUAUUUAUCAUAAGUUGGGUGAUUAUAUUACAAAAGUAGCUUUGAUUACCUAUCUAGUAAAGAUUUUAUUGUAGUAAUAUACAGUUAGUGUGUUCUAUUUUUUUCUCUCUCUCUUUUUUUGGUAUGAUUGGAUUAGUCCAAAUAAAAAAAAGUAGGUCAAAUUAUGUAACCAAUAUUUGUAUUUUAAUUAAAUGAUAAAAUUAAUCCUUCUAUUUUAAUAUGUUUAAAUUGGAUCUUUAUACUUCCUUUAAUUAUCGAAUUUAAUAAAAUUAUUAACGGUUCAAAUAUUUUUCAUUAAAAUUGAUGACUUAAUAUUUUGACUUUUUUAAGGUAGCAUUUUUUUUACGUAACUGUUGACUAUAUUGAUGUUUAAGGUCCACAUGAUCAAAGAUAAUAACAUGGCAAAUUUUUUUUAUUUAUCAUCACUUUUUCACGUCAACUUUUUCAAAUUGCACAGACCGUCUUUAUACUUUCGAUUAAAUAAUAGAAUUAAUCUUUUUAUCUUAAUGUGUAUUAUAAUUUUGAUCCUUAUAUAUUAAUUAAUUAUUGAAUUUAGAAUUUGAUACUCAUUGCAUUCAAAUUUUAUUUUUAAAUUAUUCAUAAUCAAUGUUUUACUAAAUGGAACACUGAUAAUAGAAAAUCUAACCUCAACUUGAUUCUAAUGAAUUUUGAAACUUCAAAGACAUAAUUGAAAGAGCUCAGAACUCAAAAACAGAUCUUUUAAUGAAAACAUGAAAAUCUUACUUAGAAUAAGACUAGCCAAAAGCUCCCUAAAUAAGUUAAGAGACUUAACAAAGUCUUGGUGAAAGACAACACAUAAGAGGACCCCAUGCUCGACUAAAACAAACCAUUCGAUGCAUUGAGAGCCCUCUAAGCUAAUCUAGCCUCCCAAAUGAACUCUAAGUUUUUUACCUCCUAGGAUGUCAACAUCCUUGAAAGUGACUUUUUUUUCGGAACAACUUAACUUAGAAAUCUCAAUUUAUGACACCUUUUGAGAAUAAAGAGGGUUAAAGGAUUCAAUUUUAAGCUUUUUUUUUUUUUUUUUUAUGGUUGUCUAUUAUUAUAAUAUACACCAACAUUGGAGUUUUUUAAAUUCUAUAAAAGGAAUCCUCUUAUUUAUUUAUUAAUUUUUUAAGAGAUAUUAUCAAAUAUAUUAAAACAAUAAAAUUUUUUAAUUUUACAAAUAAAAUAUAUUUUAUUAUAUAUUUUUAAAAAUUAAAAAAUUAAUUUUAAAAAAACUGAAACAUAUAUCAUUAUAUUAACUUCACUUAUAAAAUUAAAAAAUUUCAUUAAUAAUAUAUCAAAUAAUUUUUAAAAAUAUAAUUUAAUAGAGAAUGUAUCUAUCAUAACGUUUAGAUCCGGAGACCUAUCACUAGACAUUGACUUGAAGAGUCACCACAAUCUUUUUUGUUUAUGUGCGAUUGGCCACCUGACUGAAUCUGUCCUUUUUUAGAAAGAAAUCCUAAGUUUGACUUAGGUAUCUUUGCAAGGUAGAUUCAAUAUCCACGAAACCAGAACUAGAUCAAGGAAUGUGGUUACGUGUGAGGAAAGUUAUAGCACUCUCACAACGCCUAUCAAAAGAUGGUACCAGCUUGAUUUCAUUUUAUCCAUUAGCCUUAAAAAUUUUACUAAGUAAUUAAUUAUUGAAAAUUAUUCUUAAUUGACUCCAAUACUUUUGGCAAAAAAUUAAGAAAAUCUCAUCACCUCAAAAGUAUACAAGAAAAUUAUUUUUUUUUUACAGAGGCUCCAUCGUCGGAUUAUUUAUCAUUAAAAAUUUUCAAAGAAAGAAAAGGAAAAGAAUAAUGAUUCGAACUCUUGAUAUAGAUCUUUUGUAGUUUUAUAAGAAACAACUCAUGUUUUUAUACAAGGAAAAUUGAUACUUUAACUUUUCCUUAAAGCAUUUUAAAGUUUUUUAUUUUUAAAGAAAAAUUGAUACUUUCAACUUUUCCUUAAAAAUCCCUUUUUGAAAUCUUUAUUUUUUAAUUUUAAGAAAAAUUGAUACUUUCAACUUUUCCUCAAAAGAUGUUUUCUUGAAAAUUUUAAUUUCAAGGAAAAUUGGUACUUUCAACUUUUCCUCAAAAAUGCUUUUUGAAAAAUUUUAUUUUUAGGAAAAUGUAUACUUUCAACUUUUCCUCAAAAUAUGUUUUCUUGAAAAUUUUAUUUUCAAGGAAAAUUGAUGCUUUCAACUUUUUCCAAAAAAAAAAAUGUUUUCUUGAAAAUUUUAUUUUUAAGAAAAAUUGGUACUUUCAACUUUUUCCUCAAAAAUGUUUUUUUGAAAAAUUUAUUUUCAAGGAAAAUUGGUACUUCCAACUUUUUCCUCAAAAAUGUUUUUUUGAAAAUUUUAUUUUCAAGGAAAAUUGAUACUUUCAAUUUUUUUCUCAAAAAUAUUUGAUUUUAAAAUUUUUAUUUUAAAAAAAAUUGAUACUUCCAACUUUUUCUCAAAAAUAUUUGAUUUUAAGUAAUCAUUGAAAAUUAAAGAAUGUUUAAUUAAAUAAAUUAUUUCAAUUUAAUAAAAAAAACACAUAAGCAAAAAAAAUAGUAAAUAAAUAAAUAAUAACGAUAAUAAAUGAAAAAAAAACUUGGCUCGGCUUCGGCUAGGCUUGGACAGUAUACAGCUCUAGAGACAGACUCAGCUUGAGCGGCUCAGUGCACGACUCGGCUCACUCAACUCAACAGGGGCUGGGUGAUACGGGUAGGCGGGUCGAAGCGCUACGAGUCAGGUUAGACUGUAAGGAAACGCGCGGAUCCUAUCGGGUUCUUAGCUCAAAAUGACGUGAUUUUUGGACUAUAUAAAAGGCAAAAAAAAAAUCUUCUGGUCUUCAGACGCUCCUUCCCUUUUCUCUCUCUUCUCUUCUGUUUCUCACUUUAUGUGAUUUUUUAUUGUCGUCUUUCGUUGAAUGCCAUCGAAAAAAUAAUCGAUUUUUGGGUUUUAUCAUCAAAAACUGAGUUUUUCAUCGAAACUUGCCGAAAAACUUGAAUACUCGUCGAAAAAUUCGUCAAAUUUUGAAAAUUUCCUAAAAAAUUCCAGAAACUUGAGAAAAGCUAAAAAAAACAAAUUAAAAACCACAAAUUCCCCAAGAAAUCUUUUGAAACAAAAAAUUUCCUCGGAUCACUCCUAUUUUCCCCUCCUUUCUUUUUUGUGUUCUUACUCUUGUGAUUGAUGGGGUUUAUAUGGGGUUGGGUACACGGUUGAAUAGGAUUUCAAAAUCAAACUUUCCCCCUCAUCCAAUCUGUUUAUCCCCAUUCAAAAACCAAAUCCUUGAUCCUGUUUUUAAAAAUUAAAGUCUUAAUCUUAGAGUUUUACUAUGACUAAAAUUUUACUUUUAUUUAUUUAUUAUUUUAAAUAUAUUAAACUUAUCUGAAAAGUGGGUGUUUAUAGUUGCCCCUUUUUGCAUAUUUUUUAUGAAAUAGAGAUUAUGCAAAGACAUAAACACCUAUCAUGACUUUGUUUAAGAAAGAAAAUACUUUGGUGUAACUGAAUCAAGUCAAAAAAUGGAAUAACUCUAAGAAAGAUCUAGCAUAAGCUAAAAUCCAAAACACAAUAACUUAGAUUGAACUGAAGUCUAAAAUAAAUAGCUUGGACUAAGCUAAAAAAGGAUCUAACAUAGGCUAAAAUCCAAAAGCAAAAUGACUUGGAUUGAACUGAAGUCUGAAACGCAAGCUAAAAAAGGAUCCAACAUAAGUCAAAAUCCACAACGAAAUGAUCGAGACUGAAUCAAAGUCUAGAAUGAAUGGCCUGGACUAAACCAAAAAAAGAUCUGGUAUAGGUCAAAAUCCAAAAACAGAAUGACUUGGAUUGAAUCGAAUUCUAAAACGAAUGACUUAGACUGAGUCGAAGAAAGAUCUGGCAUAGGCUGAAAUCUAAAAAUAAAAUGAUCUGGAUUGAACCAAGAUUUGAAACGAAUGACUUGGACUGAGUCGAAGAGGAUCUAGUAUAGGCCAAAAUCUAAAUAAAUAAAUAAAUAAAAUGACCUAGAUUGAACCGAAGUCUGAAACGAAUGACUUAGACUUAGCCGAAUAAAAAUUUGAUAUAAGUCAAAAUCUAAAAAUAGAAUGACCUGGAUUGAAUCGAAGUCUGAAAUGAAUAACUUAGGCUAAGCUGAAGAAGGAUCUGGCAUAUAUCGAAUUCAAAAAUCGGAUGAUCUGAAUUGAACCGAAAUCUUAAACGAAUGACUUAGACUAAGAAUGAUUUGAAAAAAGUCAAAAUUUGAAACAGAAAGACUUGGACUGAAUCGAAACCUGAAAUGAAUAACUUAGACUAAGAAGGAUUUGACAAAAGUCAGAAUCCAAAACUGAAAGACUUGGACUGAACCGAAGCCUGAAAUGAAUAAUCUGGACUAAAUCAUAAUACGUUAGUGCAGGUUGUAUUUGAAACAACUGCCGCUUCAUUCUUGGCAACUUUAAUCAUCUGUGGGGUCUGAAUACCUUCUUCUAAAAGCAAAUGACAUGCGUACCUAAAGUGUUAUGAAAUGCCAAUUUUCUUGGAAUGCCUACAUGAAAUGUUAUGAGACAUUAGGCUUAUCUAAUUAUGAUAAAAAGAUUCUAAAGCUCUUUGUCGUUUUCAUUUUCGCUUCAGUGAUGGAUCCUUUAACUUCUAAAGAUAUUUGGUUAAGGAAUCAAAUUAUCAUUAUCUUUUAGCUUCAACCAAACCGAGAUCACCAUUUCACUAAGUUUCCAUUGUUCUCAUUUCACUUACCUAUGCCACUCUUGGCUUUCCAAAGUAAUAAAGAGAAUUUUCAUAUCAUUAUUUGUUCAUUCAUUAUCAUUUCAAUAUAAUGACAGAUGUAAAGCAAAUGCACAUUUCUUUUUACCUGGGUAAAAGGGUAAACAAAAAAAAAUAAUAAAAGAGGUUAAUGUUGACGUCAAAAAAGAAAUGGAUUUUAUUGAUUGAAUGGGACUGAGUUACAAAGGUGGGCUAAAGUGGGCUGUCACAUAAUCAUGAUCAAAGUAACCUAGAGUUUUCUUCCCAAAAUCAUCCACCUAGAAUUCUUGAUCUUGUCGAGUUCAUCAAAUCACACUUGCUCCUUGUGCCAUGAAACUAAUAUCUUAAACCUCUAACUGCCUUUUUGGGCCUUCAACUUAAAUAUCCUCAAACUACUUUUUGUGGGGUUUUUAAUUCGAGCCUUCCCUUUUUUGGAACUCUAACCGCCCUUUACGAGUUUUCAAUUUGAGCUCUUUUUUCUUUUCUCUUUUUUGCUUUUUGUUUUUUGUUUUUUGUUUUUUAUUUUUAUUUUUUUAUUUUUUGUUUUAAACUCAAACUGCCCUUUACGGGUUUUCAAUUUGAGCAUUUUUUUUCUUUUUUUUUUUAACUCAAAUUGCCCUUUACGAGUUUUCAAUUUGAGCAUUUUUUUUGUUAAGAAAAAUACUUCUUCACAGCAUCUGAAUUUAUUGGAUUGGGCAAAUCUUCUCCAUUUAUUUCUAUCAAGAUUAAAGCUCCUUCUGAGAAUGCCUUCUUGACAAUAUACGAACCUUUCCAAUUUGGAGUUCAUUUUUCUCUAUUGUCAUAUUGACUUGGGAGAAUCCUUUUCAAAACCAACUCCCCUUCAUGAAAACAUCGAGAUCGAAUUUUCUAUCAUAUGCCUGCAUCAUUCUCUUUUGGUACAACUACCCAUGACAUAGCGUUGUCAAUCUUUUUUUCUCAAUAAAAUUCAAUUGCUUGUAACAUUCCUAAAUCAAUUCAGCUUAUUCUAAAUCAACUUCCCUUAAAAUUCUCAAAGAGGAAAUUUUUACUUCUACAGGUAGCACUGCUUUCAUUUCAUAGACCAAAAAAAUGGGGUUGUCCUAGUAGAAGUAUGUACUGAUAUUCGAUAAGCGUGCAAAGCAAAAGAUUACUUCUCAUGCCAAUCUUUAUAGGUCUCAGUCAUUUUUUCAAGAAUCUUUUUAAUAUUCUUGUUUGCUGCUUCACUACUCCAUUCAUUUUUAGAUGGUAAAGUGUCGAGUUGUGAUGCUUGAUCUUAAAUUGGGCACAUAUCUCUUUCAUCAUCUUACUAUUAAGAUUUUUGGUAUUAUCUGAGAUAAUUCUUUUUGGGAACCUAUAUCUACAUAUUACCUCUGUCUUAAUGAACUUACACACCAUCGAUCGGGUCACACUAGCAUAUGAUGCAGCUUCAACCCAUUUUGUGAAAUAAUCAAUCAUUACAAAAAUGAACCUAUGUCCAUUUGAAGCAUUCGGUGCGAUGGGUCCGAUAACAUCCAUACCCCACAUUGAAAAUGGCCAUAGAGGCACUAUGACAUGUAAAGCAUUUGAAGGGGCAUGUAUUUUAUUUGCGUAGAUUUGACACUUAUGACAUUUUUUAGCAUAAUCUAUACAGUCACUUUUCAUGGUCGACCAGUAAUACCUUACCCUCAUAAUUUGUCUUGCCAUUAUGUGACCACUUACAUGAGCUUUACAACUCCCAUCAUGAACUUCUUUUAUGAUCUUUUGUACCUCUGUUGCAUUCACACAUCUUAAGAGAACUAGAUCUCGAUUCUUCUUAUACAAGAUAUUUUCGUCAAAGAAGAAACCCAUGACUACUUUCUUAAUAAUCCUCUUGUCAUUUUCAGAAGCAUGCUCUAGGUAUUGUUGAUUCUUUAUAUACUAUAAAAUGUCAUAAUACCAAGGCUUCCUAUCAACCUCCUCUUCAACAUUUGAAUAAUGUGCUGGAAAUUCUCUCACAUCAAGCUUUAUGGACUGAAUUUUAAUAUUUGUCUUCACUUUGAUCAUAACUACUAAUGUGGCUAGGGCAUCAGCAAUUUAAUUAUCUUCUCUAGGUAGAUGUUCAAAUUGAAUCUUCUCAAAUUGUUUAACCAAAACAGCGACAUACUUGUGAUAUUUUAUUAGCUUUGCAUCUUUUGUCUCACAUUCUCAUUUUAACUGGUAAAUAACCAAGGUUGAGUCUCCAUAGACUUCUAAUACUUUGAUUUUUCUUUCAAUUGUAGCUUGUAAGCCCAUAACACAGGCUUCGUGUUCAACUAUAUUAUUAGUGCAAUUGAAGUUCAACCUUAUUGUGAUAGGGAUAUAAUUCCCUUCUAGAGAUAUCAAGAUUGCCCUAAUUUCAUGUCCUAAAGCAUUUACAACUUCAUUAAAAUACAUCUUCUAGGACUGCUCAGUAGACUCUUCCUUAUCAACUUAGGAAACGACCAUCAGGUCUUUAUCCGAAAAAUCAAGCCUUAUUGGCUCAUAAUCAUUAGCUGUAUGUUCUGCUAGAAAUUCAGCUAUGGCACUUCCUUUAAUUACUUUUUGAGUUAUAUAGACGAUAUCAUAUUCGAAAAGCAUUACCUACCAUCGAGCAAUUCUUUCAAAUAGUGAAGAAUUUUUUAAAAUAUAUUUGAGAGGAUCCAAUUUUGCUAUGAGCCAUACGAUAUGGUAUAGCAUAUAUUGCCUAAGCCUACGAGUCAUCCAAGCUAAGGCACAAUACAUCUUUUCCAAUAAGGAAUACUUUAACUCAUAGUCAAUAAAUUUCUUACUUAAAUAGUAGAUGGCUCACUCUUUCCUGCUUGUUUCAUCUUGUUAUCCUAGCAUGCAUCCCAUUGAGCUUUCGUUCACAGUUAAAUAAAGAAUCAAUGAUUUUUCUAGAAUAAGUGGUACUAGUAUAGGUGGAUUUGACAGGUACUCUUUGACAUUAUCGAAAGCUUUCUAACAUUCAUCAUCUCAUUUACCUGAGCUAUGUUUACGAAGGAGUUUGAAAAUAGGAUCACAUUUAAGAGUGAGCUGAGAAAUGAAUUGAAAUAUAUAAUUCAACCUUCCCAAAAAACCUCAUACCUCUUUUGGUGUGCAUGGAGGUGACAAGUUUUGGAUGGCUCGGAUCUUGUCAGGAUCUACCUUUAUUCCUCUUUCACUGACUACAAAACCCAAUAGCUUCCCUGACUUAGCCCCAAAUAUGCAUUUUGAUGGGUUUAAUUUCAGCUAAAAUCUUCUCAACCUCUUGAAUAAUCUUCUAAGGUUGGCAACAUGAUCUUUUUUUUCUUUAGACUUUGCGAUCAUGUCAUCCAUGUAUACUUUUAUUUCUUUAUGCAUCAUGUCGUGAAAGAGAGUUACCAUAGCUCUUUGGUAAGUGGCCCUUAUAUUUUUCAACCCGAAAGGAAUUACUUUGUAACAAAAAUUUCCUCACAUAGUGAUGGAUGUAGUUUUCUCCAUGUCAUCUUUAGCCAUCCUAAUUUGAUUAUACCUUGAGAAUCCAUCCAUAAAAGAAAAUAUAGAGUGUUUGGCUGUAUUGUCUACUAGGGUAUCAAUGUGAGGUAAGAAAAAGUUAUCCUUUAGGCUUACCUUAUUCAAAUCUUGAUAAUCGACACACAUCUAGACUUUUUCAUCUUUCUUCGGUACUGGGACUAUGUUCGCUACUCAAUCUGGAUACUUAGUCACCUCUAAGAAACCUGCAUCAAACUAUUUUUUCACUUCUUCUUUGAUCUUUAAUAAUAUUUCAGGCUUCAUUCAUCUCAAUUUCUAUUACACUGAUUUACACUCUGGCUUUAAAGGAAGCUUAUGCUCCACUAUUUCAGUACUAAGUCCAAACAUGUCUUGGUAGAACCAUGCAAAGACAUUCAUAUAUUCACAAAGUAAUUCUUUUAAUCUUUGCUUAUCAUUCAGGGGUGACAUGCCUAUUUUAACUUCUUUUUUAUUAAUAUCAUCUCUCAGAUUUAUUAAUUCAGUACUUUUCUAGUGAGGUUCAAUUGGUUUCUUCUCUUGUUCUACCAAUUUCACUAAGCCAAGAAGUAAAGUAUCACCAUCCUAGUUCUCUUCAUGAUCAAGUUCAUCAAUAUAUAUUGAAUUUUCAAAAUCAAACCCUAGGUUACUAUCAUGAUUAUCUUUAUAUUUAUUAUCUGGGUACCUAAGAGUAAGUAAAAAAAGAGAAAUAUUGACAAGAUGUAUGGAAUGAAAAUUAAAAAAUAGACAGAAAAAUACAAAUGCAUCACAUCGAUCUUUUUAUUGAAAUGAAUGAAUGAACCAUACACAAGAAAAUAAUCUUAGUACUUUUAGGUAGAAGUAUAGGAAUUUUAUUCACUACAUUACUUUUUGAAAGACUCAAGGAUAAUAAGUAGCUCAAUGAUCUCCCAAUUAUUCAGCUUUGAACCUUGUGGGGUUGGAUACACCAGCGACUCUUUAUCUUGACUUUUAAUCGCCUCCCCUUCCACAAUUUGAAUGGUAAGUUCAGAAAAGGGUUCUUUCAACCCCAUAUCCCGAUUAUUAUCUCUAGGAUAGAUACAUCUUCCUGAUCGAAAGAUGUAAUAAAAAUAGGAAAUAAUCAUUUUUUUUACUCUAGCUCUUGUUCUUUAAGCUUAUCCAUCCUUUUCUCUUUCUUACUUUCACUCAACUUUUCCUUAUCCUCUUUUGUAGGCUUAUACCCUAAGCCAAACCUCUCUUGAUUGUUGAUCACCGCUAGUAGCUUCUGAAUUACUUACUUACUUCUUUCUUAAUCCUCUUUCGAGACACCACCUUUUUCCAAUAUCUAUUUAACAACCAUAUUGGUAGUGGCCGACAAUUGUGGUGUAUACAGCCUAGAUCCUUCACUAACAUAAGUUACAUUAACCACUCAAAAGAUCUAUAAGAAUACUCUACAGCCUCAUCUGUAGUUUUUACAUAUGGGGUUUUUGUUGGUUGGGUCACUAGCAGAUCUUUUUCUCUUAAUACACUCACUAGCUUCCCCUCGACAAUAAACUUUAUCUUCUGAUACAACAAGGAUGGGAUAGAGCCCGUCAUGUGGAUCCAUGGCCUUCCUAAUAAAUAGCUAUAUGAUGGUGAAAUAUCCAUCACUUGAAACUUCAUGUUAAAAUUACAUAGCCUGAUCUAUAGUUAUAGUUCAAUUUCACCUACCACCUCCCGUCUAGCUUCAUUGAAAGCUCUGAUGACUAUGUGGCUAGUUUUCAUGUGAGACAUCUCAAUAAACAACUUAGCCAGGGUGAACAUAGGCAUCACAUUAAUUACAGAGAUGUUGUCAAUAAGAACCUUUGUCAUUGUAUGACUUUUACAUCUAAUCAUAAUAUGCAGAACUUUAGUACUCCCUUUUCCUUUUAGGAGAAUCUCAUCGUCAUUAAAGGAAAUGUAAUUUGAGGCCACCAGAUUUUUCACAAGGUUAUCUAUGUACUCUACAGAUACAUUAUGGGAUACAUGUGCUUGAUUUAAAACCUUUAAUAAGGCAUUACGAUGAGGCUCUAAAUUCAACAAUAAUGAUAGAAGUGAGAUCCUAACUGGCAUUUUGUUUAGCUGUUCCAUCACACUGUACUCAUUAUGUUUGAUUAGUUUCAGAAACUCACAAGCUUUCUUUUCAAAAAUGGGUUUCUAGUACUCCUAUCUUGGCACUGCCAUAGAUCUUUUCUAUUCCCUUCUUCUUUUCUAAUUUUUUUUCUCUUUCUCAUUUUUUCUACCAUUUUUGAAAAGUAACAUCUUUCACUCCUAGUCAUGCUACCCACUCUAGUUAUAUUUGUCAUAUCAUAAUUGCUUGAUAUAUCUCUUUCAUUUGACCCCGUCGUUACAACCUCACAAUUGUAUUUUCAUGGUACUAUCUUAUUAUUUUGGUAUGGGAAAAGACUAGAGAUUUUGAAAGUUAUAACUGAUUUAGAAGUGGGUUGACUCUCUAUUAGCUUUGGCCUCUUGUAAUAUACUGUCACUAGUUUCGGGGUAGGCUUUGAAACCUGCUCGGUGGUGGAUACCUCUACAUUUCUUGAGCUUCUUUCAUCUUUGUAAAACUUAAUUUGGAAUGAAUCCAUCAAUUGUUGUAGAAUUUGAUGAAACUAAUCAUAGUUUUUAAUCGAAUGCCUUAUAGCUCCCUUAUGGUAUUUACACUUUAAGGAUGGGUUGUACUCUCCACGGUAAGUAUAUUGGUCCACUGGAUACAGUAUCUUUACUCUCAACAAGGCAUUAAACACCUUAUCUAGAGGGGUCUUAAUCUUAUCUACCCUUCUUUUGAUCUUGCUGGUUUGAUCCUUAUGUAUGACAUUAAUUGUUGCCCCAGUAUGGGUUGACAGAGGGUUACCAUUGACAUUAGGUGCCCCUUCUUUUUCAAAGCUUAUCAAACUCUUUUUUAUCAAGUUUUACACCUUGUGCUUUAAAGAGAUGCAGUUUUCUAUAGAAUGGCUUAUAACCCCAUAGUGAUAAUCACAAUGAGCAUUUGGGUCAUACCAUUUAGGGAAAGGUGAUUGCAUAGAAUCUACAAAGACAUGAGCUACUAAAUUUUUCUCCACGAGCUGUGAGAGUAAGUCUGUAUAAGGUAUAGAGAUUGGGUCAAAUGUGACAUUCUCUUGGUUGUUUCAUGACACUCUUAAAUUACUUGGCUGGGUAUUCUAUUUAGGGGUAAAUCUUGCUUGAGGUAUGGUGGAUGAAUUAUAUAUGUGUACGGGUGGUUGUGAUUGAAGGGUUGGUCGAUAAACUUGCUGGUAUGAUGGUUGAUAUGGGUAGUGGGUAGCGGUAAUUGGGCUAGAUACAUAGGGUGGUUAUAAAAAUGAACAUAACCUCUAAAUUGUUGGCCCUCACAACUCACAACAUGAGUUUUUCUUUUUUUUUCUUAAAUGGGCCAUUCUUCUUUGCAUCGAUUGUCUUUCUUCCAUCUAACUUACCGUUCUUAAUAACAUUUUCAAUCAUCUCACCUAAUAUAACCAUAUCAAUAAAAUUUUUCGUAGCAUUUCCUAUUAAUCUUUCAUAAUAGGGAGACUUAAGAGAACUGACAAAAAGCACUGUUACCCUUUUUUCUGUGAGAGGUGGUAGGACUUAAGAAGUAACAUCUCUUCAUCAUUAAACAUAUUACUUGAAACUUUCUGUGAUUUUUUUCUUCAUACUUUGUAAAGAGAGUCGGUCAGGUAAUAAGUCCAUAAUGUGUCUAUAUUAGGUUACAAAUGCUUUUGCCAAGUCAUUUCAGGAUUGGAUACGGGCUCAAUCCAAUUAAAUGUACCACCUUAUCGCAGAGCCUAUAAGGCUAUCUUGAAAGACAUGCAUCAAUAAUUUCUCAUCAUGAACAUGGGUGACAAUUUUUCGAUAAUACAUGGUAACGUGGGUUAACGGGCAUUUAGUCCCAUCGAACUUUUCAAAUUCAAAGAUUUUAAACUUUGAUUGGAUGAUCACAUCUAGAACUAAACAUAAUUAGGCUGCAUCCAUAAUGCCAAAAUAAUCCAUACCCUCAAUGGCUCGAACUCUAUCCUUUAAAAUAUUCAUUUUCAAUUAAGAGCUUGACUCUUCAAUUACCUUAGAGGUUUUUACUUUCAAUCUAUUUUUCUUUUUAAGGUCAUCAAAAUCAGAGACUUCAACUGGGUCUGUUGUCUUUACCCUAAAAGUGGGGUUAGUGUAACUACGAUAUGGUACUUCAGGAUAGGUGUAAGCAUAUGCCCUAGAAAAUGGCAUGUAUGGGACCUGUGUCUCUUGAGAAGAUUGACCUUGGUUUGGAUCAAACUUGGAAGGGUAUAAUGGAUCCACAAUAUCUUACCUUUCAUUCGGAUUAGGGGUUUCUUCUACUAUCUUACCGUUGUCCAGUUUUUUAAACAUUUCAUCAACUUCGUCAACUUCCUAUUUAUCUCCUCUUAAGCUUUCUCGAACUUAUCCAUACAGGUAUUUUGUUUCUGUUCCAUUUGUCUGGCUUGCAAUAGAGUAUUAUAUGGGUGACGUAUAGGUUGGCUCAAAUUUAUCAACUGUCGAGCUAUCCUUGAACAUUUAAUACCAUAUCUCAGAAUUAGCAAGUUUAUAUGACUAUCUCAUGACAACCUAAGAUGAUUAUUUUGUUAAAUGAAAUGAAUGAGAAUGCAAUGAAUGAAAAUGCAUGCAUGCAAAAAACAUUUACCUUAAGAUAGUGUUUAACCAAAAGAUUUUAUUUAUUCCAAAAAAACUUUAUUUACAUAGAAUUUAUCAUUCUAGAGUUAUAACCAUAGAAUCAUUUGAUCUGCUCAACUAGUCUUUUGCUUCCUUAAUGAAAUUCAAUAGGCAUUGUCCAUGUUUCCCUACUGGGGCCACCACUUGCUUCAACGCUUCUACCUCUUCGACCAUUUCUCUUAUCUUACCUACCUCUUUACAAAUUUUGAGUUGUCAAAUGCUCGAUAUACCUCCGUCUUCCUAGGUUUUUCCUUUUACCACACCACACUUGGUAUGAUAAUUUUCUAUGCUCUCUAACCAAUGCAGUGAUAUAGUCUUUUUGUUCAUUUAACCUUUGUUUUAACCUGCUUAGGUAGUUAUUUAACAUGUCAUUUUUUGUCUGUACUUAGGUACUUUCUUCUUCUAAUUUAGCAUAUUCCUGUUUCAAUGGCUCAUUCUCAUCAGUCAGCUCAAGGAUUGUUAUCUCCUUGGCUUUAACCCUUACACAUAACCUUUUAUGUUCUUGGUGUAGCUCCGGUAGAUUUUUAACAGCUGUAUCAUGUUCUUUAGCAAUCUUAUAAACUUUGACUUCAUGUUUUUUAGCUCUAUCUUUUCAUUGAUCUUUCUUCUCUUGAAGCUUUUUGAUUUCUUACUUUAGCUUAUCUUUUUUUAUCUCGAAUUAUUUUUUCGUAAGCUCCAAUUCUGAUGGUAUUUCUUCAAGCUUUUCUCUUAUUGGUUGUUGAAAACCUUCAUGAGUGAGUGCCAUUUCUUGUACUCGUCUUGUUCUCCAAGCUAAGUACCCAUGAGUAACCUUAUCAAUGAACGAUCUAGGACUCACUCUAUGGGAGUUUUUCAUGCUUUAAUCACAUCAUUCAUCCUCUGAAAUGCUUUUGGCUUACUGUAAAAAAAAUUUGAUUGAUGAAGCUUAUGUGUCAUGAGAAUGAACUGUUCGACCUCAAACUAUCUUCUCACUAGAAGUGACGCAUAACUUGUUGUUCCCCAUAGACCCAGAAGUGGGACCACAGUGUUAUCUUCACACUGAUAUAGCAUGGGUUCACGAUUCAUCCACGAGACUAACCAUCUCAUCUCGGUGUUUGUCAGCUUUUGUAAAAAAGCUAUCCAUUCUCUUUUAGACUUUUACUCUGGCCACUCACUUUCACAGAAUUUCUUGAUUGAAACUCGAUUACGAAAAUAAAGCUUUGAGAAUGCACUUUUUUUACACUCAAAAUGGCUUUUCAUCCAUAAAUACAAUAGUUAUAUACAGCCCGUGAAACGUCUUCCAUUCUGACGACAGUAACUCAAAGAUCUAAUAGUCUCUGCCAAUGUCACUGUUGAAGGGUUACAGCCAUUGAUCACGCUUUUGAAGAAGUCAACCACUACUAUUUCAAUAUACCCCAAAACCUUUGAAAAGAUCACCAUUCCAUAUAUGGCCAAGGCAAACACGUCUAACCCCCGCUCUUCGUUGGCAUGUUAUACUAAGAAAUUGUAAAAAAACUUUCAAGAUAAAUAAACCUGUUCUUAUUUCUUCUUUGUAUGAAAAUCACAAUCUCCUUGUUUAUCCCCAUCAUAUAGGCCAAAUUCUUAAGGAAUCCUGAUUUGUGUUUCUUAACAUAUAUCUUGUCAUGGGCCUUGAGGUGUAGACCCAACAGAGUUGAAUAUUCUUUGAUAGUUGAUGCCAUAUCAACUUCAUUAAAAAUGAAACACUUUUAUGAAGGAUACCAAAAUUGUACUGUAGCUCUAAUUACUUUAUUCUUGACAUUUAUUGCAAGAUGGUGUGUUAUAUGCCCAUGUCUCUGGCAAAACUCAUCUUGUUUUGAUGGACUCAUCUGCUUCCAUAUAUCAACUAAAUCCUCUAGAUUGUUUUGUUUGAAAAGGAUAGAUAUUUCUUGAGACAAAAUGGAAGCAUAGCCAAUUGGUAGACAAUCCGCUUCCUUUUGUUGGAUCUUUUUUGAAUGAACCUUUACUUCGUUUGGUGACUCACACGGAGCUAAUACGGAUGAAGAGCAAACUAGUCGUUCUAUGGAGUCCAUGAAAAACUCUUUGUUGAAGACUGUCUUUUUAGGUAAAUAUUCUUUAUGCCACUUCAUGAUAUGAGUAUGAAUCAUACAAAGAUGAAAAAGAAAGACAGUUAGUACACUAGAUAAGAAAAAACAUAUAAAUAACUAAAGUAGAACAUCACACAAUAAAAGAAUGAAUCCUAAGCUUUUGGUCAAUUCUAAAGGGAAAGAGAGGGCUUUAUCUAUAGGUUAGUCAUUCCUAAGGUUCAUUAUAUGUAGUUUAAAGAUUGAAAAUCUAAAGAUUUUCAAAUUGUAUUUUACAUCAUCGUUCGUCACAGACUAGUAAGGCAUCCCAAUCCUCACCCAUUACAGGCUGCAAGCGAAAAAGGUUUAAUUUGAGUGAGAGAAUUUUGCUAGCCACUGCGGAGGCAUUAAAAUCUCUCGAAAGCAUAGGUACUUUACUACCUCCUAAAGGGAUGAAACUCGGGUAUAGAACUCAUGUUAUGCAUAUGCAUAUGAAUGACAAAGUGAACAAAGUAAAUAAAUAGAAUGAAUGAAUAAAAAUUUAUACAAAAAGUUUAAUUUUAUUAAGCUUUUGGAUAACACAAAUUUAUUUGCUGGCCUGACUCUCGACUUUCCCCAGUGGAGUCGCCAAACUAUCAUAACAUCUAGAUCCGGAGACUUAUCGCUAAAUAUUGACUUAAGGAGUCACCACAAAUAUUUUUUGUUUAGGUACAAUUGGUCACUUAACUAAAUCUGUCCCUUUUUAGAGAGAAAUCAUAAGUUUGACUUAGGUAUCUUUGCAAGGUAGAUUCCAUAUCCGCGAAACCAGAACUAGAUUUGAGAGUGGGGUUACGUGUGAGGAAGGUUAUAGCACCCCCACAACAUCUAUCAAAAGAUGGUACCAGCUUGAUUUCAUGUUAUCCAUUAGCCUUAAAAACUUUACUAAGUAAUUAAUUAUUAAAAAUUAUUCUUAAUUGACUCCAAUACUUUUGAUAAAAAAAUUAAGAAAAUUCCCUCAUUUCAAAAGUAUGCAAGAAAACUAUUAUUUCUCUCACAGAGGCUCUGUCGUCGAAUUAUUUAUUAUUAAAAAUUUUCAAAAAAAAGAAGAAAAAGAAUAAUGAUUCGACUCUUGAUAUAGAUCUUUUGUAGUUUUAUAAGAAAAAAAACUCAUGUUUUUAUACAAAAAUUUUGAUACUUUCAACUUUUCUUUAAAGUAUUUUAAGGUUUUUUAUUUUCAAAAAAAUUGAUACUUUUAACUUUUCCUCAAAAGAUGUUUUCUUGAAAAUUUUAUUUUCAAAGAAAAUUGGUAUUUUCAACUUUUCCUCAAAAAUGCUUUUUGAAAAAUUUUAUUUUCAAGGAAAAUUUAUACUUUCAACUUUUCCUUAACUUUUUCUCAAAAAAUAUUUUCUUGAAAAUUUUAUUUUUAAGGAAAAUUGAUACUUCAAACUUUUUUCUCAAAAAUGUUUUUUGAAAAAAUUUAUUUUCAAGAAAAAUUGAUACUUUUAACUUUUUCUCAAAAAAUAUUUUCUUGAAAAUUUUAUUUUCAAGAAAAAUUAAUACUUUCAACUUUUCCCAAAAAAAAUAUUUUCUUGAAAAUUUUAUUUUUAAGGAAAAUUGAUACUUCAAACUUUUUUCUCAAAAAUGUUUUUUGAAAAAAUUUAUUUUCAAGAAAAAUUGAUACUUUUAACUUUUUCUCAAAAAAUAUUUUCUUGAAAAUUUUAUUUUCAAGAAAAAUUAAUACUUUCAACUUUUCCCAAAAAAAAUAUUUUCUUGAAAAUUUUAUUUUUAAAAAAAAUUGAUACUUCCAACUUUUUUCUCAAAAAUAUUUUUUUGAAAAUUUUAUUUUCAAGAAAAAUUGAUACUUUCAAUUUUUCUAAAAAAAAAAAAAACGUUUUCUUGAAAAUUUUAUUUUUAGGAAAAAUUGGUACUUUCAACUUUUUCCUUAAAAAUGUUUUUUUAGAAAAUUUUAUUUUCAAGAAAAAUUGAUAUUUUCAAUUUUUCCUCAAAAAUAUUUGAUUUUAAAAUUUUUAUUUUUAAAAAGAAUUGGUACUUCCAACUUUUUCUCAAAAAUAUUUGAUUUUAAGUAAUUAUUGAAAAUUAAAGAAUGUUUAAUAAAAUAAAUUAUUUCAAUUUAAUAAAAAAAACACAUAAGCAAAAAAAAUAGUAAAUAAAUAAAUAAUGAUAAUAAAUAAAUAAAAACCUUAGCUCGGCUUUGGCUAGGCUUGGAUAGUAUGCGGCUCCAAAGACAAACUCGGUUGGAGUGGCUCAGUGCGCAACUUGGCUCACUCCACUCAACAGGAGCUAGGUGAUACGGGUAGGCGGGUCGAGGCGUUACAGGUCGGGUUGGACCAUAAGGAAACGCAUGGAUCCUAUCGGGUUCUUAGCUCAAAAUGACUUCAUUUUUGGACUAUAUAAAAGGCAAAAAAAAGUCUUCUGGUCCUCAGACACUCAUUCCCCUUUCUCUUUUUUCUCUUCUAUUUCUUGCUUUAGGUGAUUUUCAAUUAUCGUCUUUCGCUGAAUGCCGUCGAAAAAAUCAUUGAUUUUUUAGUUUUAUCAUCAGAAAUUGAAUUUUUCACUGAAACUUACCGAAAAACUUGAAUAUUUGCCAAAAAAUUCACCAGAUUCUAAAAAUUUUCAAAAAAUUUUCAAAAACUCAAAAAAAGCUAAAAAAAAAAUUAAAAACCACAAAUUCUCCAAAAAAUCUUUUGAAACAAAAAAUUUCCUCGAAUCAUUUCUAUUUUCUCCCUCUUUUCUUUUUUGUGUUCUUACUCUUGUGAUUGAUGAGGUUUAUAUAAGAUUGGGUAAAUGGUUUAAUGGGAUUUCAAAAUCAAACUUUUCCUUUCAUCCAAUCUGUUUAUUCUCGUUCAAAAAUCAAAUCUUUGAUCUUAUUUUUAAAAAUUAAACUCUUAAUCCUAAAAUUUUACUAAAACUGAAAUUUUAUUUUUAUUUAUUUAUUAUUUUAAAUAUAUUAAACUUAUAUGAAAAGUGGGUGUCUACAGUAUCAAUCCUUCUCAUUUCGCUUACACAAUUUUAAAAGCAGCCAAAUGAUGACUAAGUCUAUAAGACGACAAUAUCUCCUACGCAAGAAGUCUCCAGGAUGGCAAUAUCUCUUACGCAAGUAAACCGGACCCACAUUUAAGAAAAGGAAAAAUCAAACAAAAAGGCUGCUGAUGUGAGUGACAAAUUAAAAUAAGCAAAGAACGCACAUGAUUGUGAUGCAUGUUAAAGAAGUCUAACUUGGAAAAUUCCACCCAUUGAAAGAUUGGUCCAAAUUUUUUAGCAAUGCUCAUAUUACGCCGCCCCUCUAUCAAAGCAAAUACAUUUUAUUUCUCUACACCACAAAAUAAUAAAAAAAAAAUCAAAUCAGAUAAGAUCAAACAAACACAGAGCUACCAGAAGCAAAUCAAACAAUGGAAGAAGCAACAAUUCUUUACUCAUUUCUUUCUUUUAUCUUUCUCAUCAUUUGUUUAAACUUGUUCUUUCAUCAAGAAAACACCCCAAAAACCUCCCUCCAAGCCCACCAUCACUACCCAUAAUUGGCCACCUUCACUUCCUGAAACCCCCCAUCCAUCGUUUGUACCAGUCUUUCACAAAAAUAUGGUCCAAUCUUCUCCCUCCGCCUCGGUUCUCAGCUUCUUGUUGUAGUAUCAUCCUCAACCGCAGCCGAGGAAUGCUUCAUCAAGAACGAUAUAGUUUUUGCCAAUCGCCCCAAGUUUAUCAUAGGGAAACACUUAGGCUACAACAAUACCACAGUUACAACAUCGUUUUAUGGUGAUCAUUGGCGCAACUUACGUCGAAUUGGUGCCAUUGAAAUCUUCUCAUCAACUCGUCUAAACGCCCCGUAACUGUUCGAAAAGACGAAAUCAGGCGCUUGUUACUAAAAUUGUCGUGUGAUUCGCGUCAAGAGUUUGCGAAAGUGGAGCUGAAAUCUAUGUUUAAUGACAUAACCCUUAAUAACAUAAUGAGGAUGUUGGCAGGGAUGUGGUACUAUGGAGAUGAAGUGACGAAUGAAGAAGAAGCAAGAGAAUUUAGGGAACUUAUGGCAGAGGCAUUCAAGAAUAGUUGAACAGCAAAUCCAGCAGAUUACUUUCCUAUAUUGAACUGGUUUGGUGAAGGGUUUGAAAAGAAGGUGAAGAAGGUUGGAAAAAGGAUGGACAGGUUCUUGCAAACUUCGAUUGAGAAUCACCGAAGCAAGAGGCAGGACAAUAAUAGUAUGAUUGAUCACCUUCUUUCCUUGCAAGAAUCUGAGCCUCAUUACUAUACUGACGAAAUUAUAAAAGGGUUCAUAUUGGUAAUUAGUUGAAUCUUUGUCUUUUUUUCUUUUUACUUUUCAAUAUUUUAUUAUUGAAAGAUAUUCGGUUUUGAAUUCGGAGCUUAGCUUAAUUGGUUCAUGUUCUUAAUUUUAGAAGAUGACAUUCAAAUCUGAAAUGUCCUAAACUAACAAAUUAACGUUGUUGUGUAGGUGAUAAUACUUGCAGGAACUGAUACAUCAGCAGUCACAAUAGAGUGGGCAAUGUCCAAUUUGCUAAAUCACCCAGAAGUACUGAAGAAGGCUAGAGCUGAACUAGACGAUCAAAUUGGUCAAGAAAACCUGAUUGAUGAACAAGAUGUUUCCAAGCUACAUUACCUUCAAAGUAUUAUAUUGGAGACACUUCGAUUAUACCCUGCAGCUCCUCUUCUGCUUCCACACAUGCCAUCUAGCGAUUGUACCUUAGGUGGAUACAACGUGCCACGUGGUGCGAUCGUAUU